AUGCACAACUACAUGUAUAUGGCAUUCAUUCCGAAUCCAUUCAAUAUCCUUCUUGCAUCACCCAUGGAACAAACCUUCCUAUAUAACUUGAUGUCAUUGUUUCUUCAUAGGAAUUGUCAUUCAUUAUCAAGUCUCAAUGCAUAUAUAGAUGUUGAUGGAUUUCAUCCACCAAUUCAUCCAAUAUUCUUCAUGCAUUGCAAAUGGAACUUUCCUUCAAAUGUAUAUCUCAGUGCAAACAUUAGUCCAUUAGGAUUGUCAUUUAAUUACCAAAACCACACAUGGGGACUGCAUGUACUUUCAAUCUCCCCCAUUUUGGUAAUUGAUGACAAUCUCAACAAGAGGGUUUAUAUAAUGAAUUUUUAA
RNAcentral lists this ribosomal RNA (363 nucleotides) under Triticum aestivum (bread wheat). RNAcentral describes it as "partial small subunit ribosomal RNA". The record is from RNAcentral. Lineage: Eukaryota; Viridiplantae; Streptophyta; Magnoliopsida; Poales; Poaceae.